UUCAUAACUGAAUUAAUACUUAAUGUUGUCUGAAGAGGUCUUUUAAAAACACAUAAGUAGAAAUUGCUAUGUUACACAAACCCUAAAGCAGAAACUUUGAUGAAAGGGUGCCCAUUUUUAAGCUAGGCUCUGAAAUAGCUUUUCCCGCUAGCAACGCGUCAUAUGACGUAGGCAGAGGUAAACAAUAGGUUUCUUCUCACUCUACAGUGGUGAGAGAGAGCGAGCUAUAGAGAAAGUUUAUGUAAGUCAUAAUGGUAAAUUAUGUGCUGGUUGCACAAAGUCCAGCCUGUCAGGAAAUCGUGUACAUAAUUUUCCUUGUAGGAAAAGCAAGGUUUUUACGUUUUUGGGUGCGUUUUGUGCAGGUGAAGUGAGCAGACUUCACUGCCGCGUCUGUCACCACACUCGUCGUUUGUGGCGCUCAUUUCACUACGGAGAGUUAUAGACCUGGAGAUUUGUUAGAGUCUCGGAUGGGAUUUUGGAGUAAGGACAAUGUGAGGUUAUUACCGAUGCUGUUCCCUCGGUGCACCACCAUCAAAGCUUUCACCUGAAUCUGGCGCGGGCAGGACUGGAGGACCAAGUGCUAGCACUUGCAGAAAUUCCAUGCACCGAAAAAGAGCUCCUAGCAGAAUUUUGGCAGAGCGUGCAGCCAGUAAUGAAGGGAUAGAUGCACCUGACAGAGGGCUUCUCUCUACAGGAUCCUGGGCCAUUAGUGCUUCGUCGUGGGUCACAGUGCAACAUCAGAUGUCUGCAAAGCUCAUCAGUUUUCCUUGGACUAGGGUGGCCCCUAAAUCAUGGCUGCAGCUG
Molecule: long non-coding RNA, 804 nt
Organism: Perca fluviatilis (European perch)
Lineage: Eukaryota; Metazoa; Chordata; Actinopteri; Perciformes; Percidae
Exons: 3
Source: RefSeq, a predicted model, not a curated record